This is a long non-coding RNA of Peromyscus maniculatus bairdii (prairie deer mouse), 3890 nucleotides long. RefSeq lists it as uncharacterized. NCBI's taxonomy places the organism in Eukaryota, Metazoa, Chordata, Mammalia, Rodentia, Cricetidae. The record is from RefSeq and is a predicted model, not a curated record.
CGAACCCAGGGCCUUGGGGCAAGCGCUCUACCACUGAGCUAAAUCCCCAACCCCACCUUAUCUUUUUUGAGGCAAAGUCUCUCAUUGCCCUGAAGAUCUCCAAUUAGGUUGACUCUGAGUCUCCAUCUUUCCCAUGCUGGAUUACAAGAUACACCACCAAGUGCGGCUCUUUUUUUUUUUUUUUUUUUUUUAAAUGUGAGUUCUGUGGGAUCAAAGUCGUUCCUCAUGAUUGCAAAGCAAACACUUGACCAAUGAGCUAUCCCUGCAGCGCGGAUAGCAUAGGCGUUCUGUGUGGCCAGUGAUAGCCCCAAACUCGGGACGGGGAAUGCAGCUGGAAGGCGAGGACUCACACAGCACAUUCGAGGUUCUGGGUUCCGCCCCCAACCCCGCCAUUUGAAAACAAAAGGAUGUCAGUCCGUCUGGAGAACUGUCUAAGGCAGAGCCCCUCUUUCCUCUCUUUCCUUUUCUAUGCCUGUGCCCCCAGUGGACUCCUCUACAGCUGCUGGCCUGCGAAGGGCGUCUUCCCCCACUGAGUAAACAAGCAGGACUUCACUCUUGAUAGAACUGGGUGGAGAAUGUUUGAAAAUGAUUUGGUUUAAAGUUAAUCCCGUCACUUCCUCCCCGCCCGCCCGCCCGCCCGCCAGCCCGCCCCCCAUCCCCCGGGAUCUUUGACCAACACAAAGUCUUUGGGAGUUCACUCAGAUGCCAUAGUGGGGUCACAUUCCACCAAUUUCAACCGAAGAAGAUGCCAUGGAGUGGAAACCUGGCCUGGAGACGGGGGACCUGUGAAUUGCCUGGCACCCCUCCAUGGUGUGGAAGUGGAGUUGGCACCCUCUGCACUUGGAUGGAGGGUGUGGAGCUGCCCUGGGCAAGGUUGUGCAGAGCUCAUAUCUCCUCUUCCUCCUCCUGCAGCUAUUGGGGCUUCUGAGGGGGCUCCAGAGACCCUUGAGAGGAGAAGCUGGUCAAGCCAGGCAGGGCCAGCUGAGUCGGCCAGAUGUUGAACAAAGCCCAGAAGCCUGUCUGCAGAGCACACAAUGACCGCCCCCUCUAUACCCCCCCCCCCACAAGAUCCCAGAGAAGUUCUGACAGCUUCCCUGUUUCUUGUUCUAGUCACUCUUGAGGCCCUUGGGUCCCUGAUAUGUGUUCUGCUAUCUUUUUGAAACAGAAUGUUCUCUUGGGGCCUAAAUUUAUGUGACACCAUAAUACCCUAUUAGAAUUCUAAAAAGGAAAAAAAAAAAAUCAAUGGGAAUUUCUAGGAACAGCUGUGUGGAGAAACAAAGAAAGGUCACUGUGGGCCAAACCCAAGUAGCCUCACUGUGACAGUGAACACAAGCAAGCCUUGACUUGUCCAGCCAACCCCCACCCCCACCCCUGGUGGUCUGCAGAGCUUUGGGAAUAGACAGUCCAUUUGCAGAGUGGCCCAAAGAUCUCUGAGGGGGAAGGGUUCCCUAUUGCAGCCCCCACCCCCAGCCCCUAAUAUUAAGAGCCGGGAAGAGCUAUUGAAGACCACCUCGCCCAAACCAAUGUCAGAGAAAGCCUGGCAGGACAGGUGUAUCCCCACAGAGAGACAGUGGGCUAGCGAGGAGGCUUUGUGUGAGCUUCUAGGAGCUUCCAGGAACACUGUGGGCAUCUGUAUAUGUAGGUGAGGACAGUGAGCUGAACUUCUGAUUAUCCCAGCCUCCUCUGCCCGUACCAGCAUACACAGCUUUGGGACUAGAAAGAGGAAACCGCUCGUUUUCCCAAAGCAGACUUUGCCUCCCAGAGUCUGGCUUCAAGCUCUACAGUGAACUCCCCAGUUCCACUCCCAGCAGUAACCCCCUUGUCUGCUUUAACUACUGCCCCCCUGCCCUGUUCCCUUCAGUGUGAGGCAUUGUGGCUGUGACCAAGAGAACUGUGUUGAAAAUGCUGGGGCAUGCCGAGUCUGCAUUCAGAACCGUCUCACUCAAAAUACGCCGAGCGCAGAGGACAUUCAACUUUCUGCCCACUCCUAAAGACCUGCCUUUAGUGAGACCGCUCGGCAGGACUGGGGAUGGGCAUAGCCCCGUCCUCCCCCAGGGACCUGGCAUCAGCAUCCAGGGAGUGUGGAAGAAAAAGUGAUCCCUAUUGGAAUUCCGAAUCCACUCCAUUGUGAGAGUUCCCUGGCACCUUUGAGACCCCCCACACCCCAGCCCCAAUAAUCUCUGCAGCUGUGGCCCAGAUUGGCUGAAAACUCUCUGUGUAGCUGAGGACCGAAGGGGUAAAAAAAGAAAGGCCAAGCGGGUACCUUUCGGACCCUGCCAAGGCACGCCACUCAACAAACACGCCACGCGCAACAGAGUUAGUGCGAGAGGUUUAUUCGGGGAGGGGACAGACAGACAGAGAGGCAGAGAGAACAGGGACAAGAGGAAGAAGAGAGGCAAGAGAACGAGCUGUGCCUGGUGGGCACUUUUAAGGGUGCACAUGUCACAUAGCUGACGUGGAAAGGCACCUGGCAGCAGGUGAUGGCGUCACCACCUCGUCACCACCUCGGCGGCCUAAGCUGAGUCAGGCUGCUGUCAUGGCAGGAACGCCUGUGAUCCCAGGCAGAACCAGGCGGAUCUCUGUGAGUGCGAGGCCAGCCUGGUCUACAGAGUGAGAUCCAGGCAGGACAGGCUCCAAAACUACACGGAGAAACCCUGUCUUGAAAAAAAAAAAAAAAGGUGAGAAAAUAGGAAAUGGUAGCCGGUAAGGCAGAAACGGGAGCCUCCGGGAAUGGGGUAUCUUAUUCUCUAGACUGCUUCCUGUUGUCUGGGGCUGUCGGCAUCUUUGGGGGGACCCGAGAGAGCUGGGAUAGCUGGCUGCUUCACUCGCUGUCUUGAAUUUCUGAUCCUCCUGCCUCCACCUCCCACAUGCUAGGAUUAUGGGCCCUCCCCGUCUAGCCAAGUUUAUAAGGCGCCGGGCUUUGGCAAAGCUGGGCAGGUGCUUUUCCAGCUCCUUUAUACAGAGCCCCCGCAGUGGUGGAGCUUUAAAGCAGGAACCCUCGUCCUUGCCACCAGCUGCCGAUGGGACCUUGGCCCCGCCCGGUCUUCAUAAAACAGGAAACCUUCCUAGUGCUGCCCUGCUGUGGAAUCAGCUGUUUCCGUCCGAAAGAUGGUUCGGGAAGGGGCGUGGUGGCGAGGGACUGCUGAAUAGGUAUGGGAUUUCUUUAUAGGGUAAUGAAAAUAUUCUGGCAUUAUGGGCUGGGCAGAUGACUCAGUGGGCAAAGUGCUUGCUGUGCAAGAAAUGAGGACCCAGUUUGGAUCCCCAGGACCCACAUAAAAGGUGGGUGUGGCAGUGUGCACCGAGGGAAUCGGGGCAGAGAGGCAGAUCCCAGAGGGCUGACUGGCCUGUUAGCCUGGCUCAAACAGAGGCAAGAUACAGGUACAACAGAGACCCUGUCUAAACUAAACUAGGGUGCAGAGCAAUAGAAGAUGCCUGAAGUUGACCUCUGACCUCCACACAUGUGCUCAGGUGAGCACACCAGCACGUAGGUGCAUACAGGCACAGACACACACACACACACACACACAUCACCACCACCAUCACCACACUGUGGCCUUAAAUGGUGACAGUUAAAUUCUGUGACUACCUGCAAACCACUAAACUGUACACUUGAAGAGGGUAGACCUUACCCUUUGUGUGUUUCAUUUUGCAUAUUACUUAUGGGAAAAAAAAAAAAAACUAGACAAACAACCACGCCGAAAUGGAGAAGGAAAACUGGCAGACCUCCGUAGAAUGUGCUUUAUCUCAGAAACUCGGGCUCUGGGCAGGAAGAAGGCUUUCCUUUGUCUCGAAUCUCAGGGUCUCUUCAUUCAAGGGCCUGGGGAAGCUGGGAAGGCUGUGAGUCGGAAGUGAUUUGCAAAGGAAAGGAAAGAUCAAAGCAGGUACUGAGG